UGGGGAAUCUUGCACAAUGGGGGCAACCCUGAUGCAGCGACGCCGCGUGAGCGAUGAAGCCCUUCGGGGCGUAAAGCUCUUUCGACCGGAACGAUAAUGACGGUACCGGGAGAAGAAGCUGCGGCUAACUACGUGCCAGCAGCCGCGGUAAUACGUAGGCAGCAAGCGUUGUUCGGAGUUACUGGGCGUAAAGAGUGCGUCGGCGGUUUUCUAAGUUCGGUGUGAAAUCUCCCGGCUUAACUGGGAGGGUGCGCCGAAGACUGUGAAGCUGGAGUGUGGGAAAGGCAGGCGGAAUUCCUGGUGUAGCGGUGAAAUGCGUAGAUAUCAGGAGGAACACCGGCGGUGUAGACGGCUUGCUAGACCAUAACUGACGCUGAGGCACGAAAGCGUGGGUAGCAAACA
RNAcentral lists this ribosomal RNA (402 nucleotides) under uncultured bacterium. Its description in RNAcentral is "bacterial SSU rRNA". It matches the Rfam family "Bacterial small subunit ribosomal RNA", at positions 355 to 774 of the family's 1533-position model. The record is from RNAcentral.